GAUGAACGCUAGCGGGAGGCCUAACACAUGCAAGCCGAGCGGGAUUUGUUGGUUAGCUUGCUAACUAACAAUGAGAGCGGCGUACGGGUGCGUAGCACGUGUGCAACCUGCCUUUAUCUGGGGGAUAGCCUUUCGAAAGGAAGAUUAAUACCCCAUAACAUAUUGAUUGGCAUCAGUUAAUAUUGAAAGCUCCGGCGGAUAGAGAUGGGCACGCGUAAGAUUAGCUAGUUGGUGAGGUAACGGCUCACCAAGGCUGCGAUCUUUAGGGGGCCUGAGAGGGUGAUCCCCCACACUGGUACUGAGACACGGACCAGACUCCUAAGGGAGGCAGCAGUGAGGAAUAUUGGACAAUGGGUGAGAGCCUGAUCCAGCCAUCCCGCGUGAAGGACUAAGGACCUAUGGUUUGUAAACUUCUUUUAUACAGGGAUAAACCUACUCUCGUGAGGGUAGCUGAAGGUACUGUAUGAAUAAGCACCGGCUAACUCCGUG
This 489-nucleotide ribosomal RNA is filed under the name uncultured bacterium. Its description in RNAcentral is "partial 16S ribosomal RNA". It matches the Rfam family "Bacterial small subunit ribosomal RNA", at positions 28 to 507 of the family's 1533-position model. The record is from RNAcentral.